Molecule: long non-coding RNA, 240 nt
Filed under: Gossypium barbadense (sea-island cotton)
Lineage: Eukaryota; Viridiplantae; Streptophyta; Magnoliopsida; Malvales; Malvaceae
Description: long non-coding RNA (GBAR_LNC014369)
Source: RNAcentral
CAAGGAGACAAUGGGGAGCUAGAAUAUCAAGUUAGAUUCAAGAAAUAGAAGCUAGAGGAGAGAGAAAAUCAAGUUAAAGAUUGAAAUCAAUAGCACAAUGUAAGAACAUCUAGAUUUCAAUAUAUUUUUAAGUUUGAUAUUAUUGAAAAAGCAUGGAAAUAAUGUUAUAGUAGAGUUUUCUUAUAUAAGGUCUUAUGUUCUUGAUAUAUUAGUGAAGAAAAAUAAGUGAAAGUGAUGAGA